This 406-nucleotide ribosomal RNA is filed under the name uncultured bacterium. RNAcentral's name for it is "partial 16S ribosomal RNA". It matches the Rfam family "Bacterial small subunit ribosomal RNA", at positions 30 to 526 of the family's 1533-position model. The record is from RNAcentral.
AUUGAACGCUGGCGGCAGGCCUAACACAUGCAAGUCGAACGAGUGGCGGACGGGUGAGUAAUGUCUGGGAAACUGCAAGAUGGAGGGGGAUAAAUACUGGAAACGGUAGCUAAUACCGCAUACCAUCGGAUGGUCACAGCUGGGAUUAGCUAGUAGGUGGGGUAACGGCGAACCUAGGCGACGAUCCCUAGCUGGUCUGAGAGGAUGACCAGCCAAACUGGAACUGAGACACGGUCCAGACUCCUACGGGAGGCAGCAGUUGGGAAUAUGGCACAAUGGGCGCAAGCCUGAUGCAGCCAUGCCGCGUGUAUGAAGAAGGCCUUCGGGUUUUAAAGUACUUUCAGCGAGGAGGCGUUACUCGCAGAAGAAGCACCGGCUAACUCCGUGCCAGCAGCCGCGGUAAUAC